Molecule: ribosomal RNA, 2916 nt
Filed under: Vibrio parahaemolyticus
Lineage: Bacteria; Pseudomonadati; Pseudomonadota; Gammaproteobacteria; Vibrionales; Vibrionaceae
Description: bacterial LSU rRNA
Rfam family: Bacterial large subunit ribosomal RNA
Source: RNAcentral
GUUGUAUGGUUAAGUGACUAAGCGUACACGGUGGAUGCCUUGGCAGUCAGAGGCGAUGAAAGACGUAGUAACUUGCGAUAAGCCCAGAUUAGGUAGUAACAACCAUUUGAGUCUGGGAUUUCUGAAUGGGGAAACCCACGUGCAUAAGCACGUAUCCUUACCUGAAUACAUAGGGUAAGGAGGCGAACCGGGGGAACUGAAACAUCUAAGUACCCCGAGGAAAAGAAAUCAACCGAGAUUCCGAAAGUAGCGGCGAGCGAAAUUGGACUAGCCCUUAAGCUUUACACGCGUUAGACGAACGGUCUGGAAAGUCCGACGAUACAGGGUGAUAGUCCCGUAGUUGACGACGUGUGUUCAGUGAAAUCGAGUAGGGCGGGACACGUGAUAUCCUGUCUGAAUAUGGGGGGACCAUCCUCCAAGGCUAAAUACUACUGACUGACCGAUAGUGAACCAGUACCGUGAGGGAAAGGCGAAAAGAACCCCUGUGAGGGGAGUGAAAUAGAACCUGAAACCGUGUACGUACAAGCAGUAGGAGCAGGCUUUGUCCUGUGACUGCGUACCUUUUGUAUAAUGGGUCAGCGACUUAUAUUCAGUGGCAAGGUUAACCAUCUAGGGGAGCCGUAGGGAAACCGAGUCUUAACUGGGCGUUCAGUCUCUGGAUAUAGACCCGAAACCAGGUGAUCUAGCCAUGGGCAGGUUGAAGGUUGAGUAACAUCAACUGGAGGACCGAACCGACUAAUGUUGAAAAAUUAGCGGAUGACUUGUGGCUAGGGGUGAAAGGCCAAUCAAACCUGGAGAUAGCUGGUUCUCCCCGAAAGCUAUUUAGGUAGCGCCUCGGACGAAUACUACUGGGGGUAGAGCACUGUUAAGGCUAGGGGGUCAUCCCGACUUACCAACCCUUUGCAAACUCCGAAUACCAGUAAGUACUAUCCGGGAGACACACGGCGGGUGCUAACGUCCGUCGUGGAGAGGGAAACAACCCAGACCGCCAGCUAAGGUCCCAAAUUACUACUAAGUGGGAAACGAUGUGGGAAGGCUCAGACAGCCAGGAUGUUGGCUUAGAAGCAGCCAUCAUUUAAAGAAAGCGUAAUAGCUCACUGGUCGAGUCGGCCUGCGCGGAAGAUGUAACGGGGCUAAGUAGUAAACCGAAGCUGCGGCAAUAUACUUUUGUAUAUUGGGUAGGGGAGCGUUCUGUAAGCGGUUGAAGGUGUGUGGUAACGCAUGCUGGACGUAUCAGAAGUGCGAAUGCUGACAUGAGUAACGAUAAAGGGGGUGAAAAACCUCCUCGCCGGAAGACCAAGGGUUCCUGUCCAACGUUAAUCGGGGCAGGGUAAGUCGACCCCUAAGGCGAGGCCGAAAGGCGUAGUCGAUGGGAAACGGGUUAAUAUUCCCGUACUUCUUACAAUUGCGAUGGGGGGACGGAGAAGGCUAGGUGGGCCUGGCGACGGUUGUCCAGGUUCAAGUGCGUAGGCUUGAGAGUUAGGUAAAUCCGGCUCUUUCUAAGGCUGAGACACGACGUCGAGCACCUACGGGUGUGAAGUCAUUGAUGCCAUGCUUCCAGGAAAAGCCUCUAAGCUUCAGAUUGUAAGGAAUCGUACCCCAAACCGACACAGGUGGUCGGGUAGAGAAUACCAAGGCGCUUGAGAGAACUCGGGUGAAGGAACUAGGCAAAAUGGUACCGUAACUUCGGGAGAAGGUACGCUCUCGACGGUGAAGUCCCUCGCGGAUGGAGCUAUUGAGAGUCGCAGAUACCAGGUGGCUGCAACUGUUUAUUAAAAACACAGCACUGUGCAAAAUCGUAAGAUGACGUAUACGGUGUGACGCCUGCCCGGUGCCGGAAGGUUAAUUGAUGGGGUUAGACUUCGGUCGAAGCUCUUGAUCGAAGCCCCGGUAAACGGCGGCCGUAACUAUAACGGUCCUAAGGUAGCGAAAUUCCUUGUCGGGUAAGUUCCGACCUGCACGAAUGGCGUAAUGAUGGCCACGCUGUCUCCACCCGAGACUCAGUGAAAUUGAAAUCGCUGUGAAGAUGCAGUGUACCCGCGGCUAGACGGAAAGACCCCGUGAACCUUUACUACAGCUUGGCACUGAACAUUGACCCUACAUGUGUAGGAUAGGUGGGAGGCUUUGAAGCACGUACGCCAGUAUGUGUGGAGCCGUCCUUGAAAUACCACCCUUGUAGUGUUGAUGUUCUAACGUCGACCCCUAAUCGGGGUUGCGGACAGUGCCUGGUGGGUAGUUUGACUGGGGCGGUCUCCUCCCAAAGAGUAACGGAGGAGCACGAAGGUGGGCUAAUCACGGUUGGACAUCGUGAGGUUAGUGCAAUGGCAUAAGCCCGCUUGACUGCGAGAAUGACAAUUCGAGCAGGUGCGAAAGCAGGUCAUAGUGAUCCGGUGGUUCUGAAUGGAAGGGCCAUCGCUCAACGGAUAAAAGGUACUCCGGGGAUAACAGGCUGAUACCGCCCAAGAGUUCAUAUCGACGGCGGUGUUUGGCACCUCGAUGUCGGCUCAUCACAUCCUGGGGCUGAAGUCGGUCCCAAGGGUAUGGCUGUUCGCCAUUUAAAGUGGUACGCGAGCUGGGUUUAGAACGUCGUGAGACAGUUCGGUCCCUAUCUGCCGUGGGCGUUGGAAGAUUGAAGGGGGCUGCUCCUAGUACGAGAGGACCGGAGUGGACGAACCUCUGGUGUUCGGGUUGUGUCGCCAGACGCAUUGCCCGGUAGCUAAGUUCGGAAUCGAUAACCGCUGAAAGCAUCUAAGCGGGAAGCGAGCCCUGAGAUGAGUCUUCCCUGAUACUUUAAGUAUCCUAAAGGGUUGUCGGAGACUACGACGUUGAUAGGUCAGGUGUGUAAGUGCUGUGAGGCAUUGAGCUAACUGAUACUAAUUGCCCGUGAGGCUUAACCAUACAACACCCAAGGGGUUU